Molecule: ribosomal RNA, 390 nt
Filed under: uncultured bacterium
Lineage: Bacteria
Description: bacterial SSU rRNA
Rfam family: Bacterial small subunit ribosomal RNA
Source: RNAcentral
AUUGAACGCUGGCGGAAUGCUUUACACAUGCAAGUCGAACGGCAGCACGGGGCAACCUGGUGGCGAGUGGCGAACGGGUGAGUAAUACAUCGGAACGUGCCCAAUCGUGGGGGAUAACGUAGCGAAAGUUACGCUAAUACCGCAUACGAUCUACGGAUGAAAGCGGGGGAUCGCAAGACCUCGCGCGAAUGGAGCGGCCGAUGUCAGAUUAGGUAGUUGGUGGGGUAAAGGCUCACCAAGCCAACGAUCUGUAGCUGGUCUGAGAGGACGACCAGCCACACUGGAACUGAGACACGGUCCAGACUCCUACGGGAGGCAGCAGUGGGGAAUUUUGGACAAUGGGCGCAAGCCUGAUCCAGCCAUUCCGCGUGCAGGAUGAAGGCCUUCGGG